RNAcentral lists this ribosomal RNA (251 nucleotides) under uncultured prokaryote. RNAcentral's name for it is "partial 16S rRNA". It matches the Rfam family "Bacterial small subunit ribosomal RNA", at positions 525 to 775 of the family's 1533-position model. The record is from RNAcentral.
ACGGGGGGUGCAAGCGUUAAUCGGAAUUACUGGGCGUAAAGCGCACGCAGGCGGUUUUUUAAGUUAGAUGUGAAAUCCCAGGGCUUAACCUGGGAACUGCAUCUGAAACUGGCAGAAUUGAGGCUCGAAGAGGGGGGUAGAAUUCCAGGUGUAAGGGUGAAAUGUGUAGAUAUCUGGAGGAAUACCAGUGGCGAAGGCGGCCCCUUGGACGAGAUCUGACGCUAAGGUGUGAAAGCUUGGGGAGCAAACAG